GAUGAACGCUGGCUACAGGCUUAACACAUGCAAGUCGAGGGGAAACGACGGGGAAGCUUGCUUCCCCGGGCGUCGACCGGCGCACGGGUGAGUAACGCGUAUCCAACCUGCCUCUGACUGGGGGAUAACCCGUCGAAAGUCGGCCUAAUACCUCAUGGCAUCGUCUGCGGGCAUCCAACGACGAUUAAAGAUUUCAUCGGUCAGAGAUGGGGAUGCGUCUGAUUAGCUUGUUGGCGGGGUAACGGCCCACCAAGGCGACGAUCAGUAGGGGUUCUGAGAGGAAGGUCCCCCACAUGGGAACUGAGACACGGUCCAAACUCCUACGGGAGGCAGCAGUGAGGAAUAUUGGUCAAUGGGCGAGAGCCUGAACCAGCCAAGUAGCGUGCAGGAUGACGGCCCUAUGGGUUGUAAACUGCUUUUAUGCGGGGAUAAAGUGAGGGACGUGUCCUUCAUUGCAGGUACCGCAUGAAUAAGGACCGGCUAAUUCCGUG
Molecule: ribosomal RNA, 491 nt
Filed under: uncultured bacterium
Lineage: Bacteria
Description: partial 16S ribosomal RNA
Rfam family: Bacterial small subunit ribosomal RNA
Source: RNAcentral